RNAcentral lists this ribosomal RNA (874 nucleotides) under Argiope aemula. Its description in RNAcentral is "SSU rRNA". It matches the Rfam family "Eukaryotic small subunit ribosomal RNA", at positions 426 to 1303 of the family's 1831-position model. The record is from RNAcentral. Lineage: Eukaryota; Metazoa; Arthropoda; Arachnida; Araneae; Araneidae.
CAGCAGGCGCGCAAAUUACCCACUCCCAGCACGGGGAGGUAGUGACGAAAAAUAACAAUACGGGACUCUUUUGAGACCCCGUAAUUGGAAUGAGUACACUCUAAAUCCUUUAACGAGGAUCCAUUGGAGAGCAAGUCUGGUGCCAGCAGUCGCGGUAAUUCCAGCUCCAAUAGCGUAUAUUAAAGUUGUUGCGGUUAAAAAGCUCGUAGUUGGAUCUCAGCUCCGGCCGGACGGUCCGCCUACCGGUGGUCACUGUUCGCUGCCGAGCGUUCAGGGGGCUCUCGCCGAUGAUCUUCACCGGUUGUCUGCGGGGACCCUCACGUUUACUUUGAAAAAAUUAGAGUGCUCAAAGCAGGCGCGACGCCUGAAUAAUUGUGCAUGGAAUAAUGGAAUAGGACCUCGGUUCUAUUUUGUUGGUUUUCGGAACACGAGGUAAUGAUUAAGAGGGACAGACGGGGGCAUUCGUAUUGCGACGCUAGAGGUGAAAUUCUUGGACCGUCGCAAGACGAACUACUGCGAAAGCAUUUGCCAAGAAUGUUUCCAUUAAUCAAGAACGAAAGUUAGAGGUUCGAAGGCGAUCAGAUACCGCCCUAGUUCUAACCAUAAACGAUGCCAGCCAGCGAUCCGGCUGCGUUCCUCAAAUGACGCGCCGGGCAGCUUCCGGGAAACCAAAGCUUUUGGGUUCCGGGGGAAGUAUGGUUGCAAAGCUGAAACUUAAAGGAAUUGACGGAAGGGCACCACCAGAAAUGGAGCCUGCGGCUUAAUUUGACUCAACACGGGAAAACUUACCCGGCCCGGACACAGGAAGGAUUGACAGAUUAAGAGCUCUUUCUUGAUUCUGUGGGUGGUGGUGCAUGGCCGUUCUUAGUUGGUG